AAUCAACGCUGGCGGCGUGCCUCAGACAUGCAAGUCGAACGAUUAAACUUUCCUUCGGGGAAGAUAUAGAGCGGCGCACGGGUGAGUAACACGUAAGUAAUCUACCCUUGGGUGGGGAAUAACAUCGGGAAACCGAUGCUAAUACCGCAUAAUGCAGCGGCUUCUUAUGAAGACAGUUGUUAAAGCAUUUAUGUGCCUGAGGAGGAGCUUGCGGCAGAUUAGCAGUUGGUAAGGUAAUGGCUUACCAAGGCGACGAUCUGUAGCCGACCUGAGAGGGUGGUCGGUCACACUGACACUGAAUAACGGGUCAGACUCCUACGGGAGGCAGCAGUCGGGAAUUUUGGGCAAUGGGCGCAAGCCUGACCCAGCAACGCCGCGUGAAGGAUGAAGUAUUUCGGUAUGUUAAAACUUCGUAAAAAUAGGAAGAAUAAAUGACGGUACUAUUUGUAAGGUCCGGCUAACUACG
RNAcentral lists this ribosomal RNA (466 nucleotides) under uncultured bacterium. RNAcentral's name for it is "bacterial SSU rRNA". It matches the Rfam family "Bacterial small subunit ribosomal RNA", at positions 32 to 505 of the family's 1533-position model. The record is from RNAcentral.